GCACACACUCAUACACACACACUGCAAAAACGAAGGGGAAAUGUUUCUCCAAAUUGGUGGCUUCCUUGCAAAACUCCAUAGACUCUCACCUCUUUUCUUGAUCUGGCCACGUUCUGUCUGGGUGCGCCCAGUCCUGUCCCGCACCUGACCUUUCUGGUCCCUGGAGCAAGGUCGGGGAACAAGGAACAAGGUCCUGGUGCAGGAAAAUUCAUUUGCAGAGCUGGUAAGCCCAUCUGGCCUGCACGGUGUCGCACCGCUCCUUCCCCCACCCGGCGUGGGUGCCCUCCUCCCUCUGGGCUGCUGGGACACGCUAGAAUCACAGUGGGCGCAGCGUCACCGUGUCCCAGUGCGCAGCCCCUCCGCGGGGUCACUGAGACCAGAAAAGCGAAACUUGUUGCUUCCGAUGUUGGAUAAAUGAUUCCGCUCCAGGAAGUGUCGCGGAGCUUGAAAAGCAUCACCCUAAGGAUGCCCGAUAGUCUAGGAUGCCCAGAAAGGUCCUGCCCGGUAGACCCAGUCUUUCCACUGGUCACAGCUACCACAGCGAUGCAGACGGAGUGGAAAGGAUUGUGGAGAAGUCUCAGACCAGAGAGGCGCGUCUCUGAACCGAGCAGCUGCGCAGGUCCAGAGGGCCCUGCACCCUCUUUUCGUGGUCACGCAGCAAAGACAUUUACGGCGAGAACAGGCUGUAUUACACAAGGUAGUUCUGACACCAAAGUCUUGCAAAUUAAAGUUAAUUUAAAAUGUUAAAAAAAAAAAAAAAAAAAAAAAAAA
RNAcentral lists this long non-coding RNA (771 nucleotides) under Mus musculus (house mouse). Its description in RNAcentral is "predicted gene 5144 (Gm5144)". The record is from RNAcentral. Lineage: Eukaryota; Metazoa; Chordata; Mammalia; Rodentia; Muridae.